AAUCAUAUUAUUUAGUAAAUAAAAUUACUGUCAAAUCCACUUUCAUAAAUUUUUAAAUAACUUAAUCCAUAUAAAUAAAUUUAUUGUAACCCAUCUCCUCUUGAUUAUAAAUUGCACCUUGACCUGACAUUUCAUAUUUUUAAUAAAAAGAAUAUUAACUCUAAAAAGAUACUCUGAUGACGGAGGUAUACAAACUGUUUUACUAAAUCAAGUAAAUUCCAUCGUGGAUUAUCGAUAAUGGGACAGGUUCCUCUGAUUAGAUUAAAAUACCGCCAAAUCCUUUGGGUUUCAAGAUCAUAACUAAUACUACCCAAGUUUAUAUU
This 323-nucleotide ribosomal RNA is filed under the name Cordulegaster dorsalis. Its description in RNAcentral is "partial 12S ribosomal RNA". Lineage: Eukaryota; Metazoa; Arthropoda; Insecta; Odonata; Cordulegastridae. The record is from RNAcentral.